This 1027-nucleotide long non-coding RNA is filed under the name Eucalyptus grandis. RNAcentral describes it as "long non-coding RNA (EGRA_LNC004814)". The record is from RNAcentral. Lineage: Eukaryota; Viridiplantae; Streptophyta; Magnoliopsida; Myrtales; Myrtaceae.
UUAUGCUCAAAGGAGCAUGUUAGGUUUUAGUUAAUGUAGCUUUAGUUUCCGCUGAAGAAUGGAUAAUCUUCCAUUUAAUCACUCGAGGUGACCGACCCGAGCGUUUGCUUCUCUUGCCAUUGUAGAUUAUUGAAGUGCUAUAGAUUCAUUAGCUGAGGUGCAAUUUUAAGUGGAAUCGAUUUGAUUUUGAACGAUUUGAUUGGGUCCUGAAGUUAGCUUUUCAUUGGCAUAAUCGAGUUAUUAAUGAUCACAUGCGUCUGUGGUUGUUGCAGGAUCAGUCGGGAGAUGUGCUGCAUUGGAUUCGGCAGGUAAUGGCGCUUGUGUGCGGAUUGGUAUGGGGUUCAAUACCUUUGGUUGGAGGCAUAUGGACUGUCCCGUGAGUUGAUUGCUUUUCGCGUUCAUGCACCUUUUUAACCUUCCACUGUUUCUGUUCUAUGAAAGCUCGAAACUCUUGUAGAGGACUAGGCAUCCCCAAGGGUAAAAGAAUGAAGGAAAUCAUCCUUGAAUUUGGAUGAUGGCUUAGUCGUGGAGUGAGAAUUUAGAGCUACCAAAGCCAUUGGCAUCCGCAUGAACGAGAUUAUUCCCUACCUCCAAUGCUUGUCCCUUCUCUCUUUCGUUUGAAGGAACCCCACCUCUGUGACGUCCACCAAGUGUUUGUGAAUUUGCCCAAUUGUAUCCAUUGCGUAAUUCACAGAUUUAAAUGUUUUGACUACUAGUUUUGUGAAAUUCUAUUCUCUCUUCUUUUAGUUAUUUUUCUAUUAUGUUGAUGCCCUGGUCAAUCUAGAUGGAUGAGUUUUAUUCCAUUUUCACUACUUGCAGACUCGUCCUGGAUGAGAAUUGUUCCUAUUGUGUUUGGGACACAAGUCUAGUAAGGACUUAAGUUCUUCACAGGUUUAAAAGUACCAAGUAUGGAUGGAAAGUUGAAGUUCACUCUUAAAAAUACUUAAGUGAAAGAAUCUAAUUGAGCCUAACAAAUCGCAAGAGAGGCACAUAGCAUGGGAGAAGUUUCCAUUUGUAUUUGGAAAUU